ACCCCAGGCACCUGCUUCCUUCGCUGGUGCCUGGAACCGGCCCUGGUCCUCUGUAAUGUGUAUUUUUGUUUUUUUCUUUUUGUUUGUUUCCUUAGGGACUUCCUAAAACUUCUUAGGGAAAGUAAUUGGUAAGAAGAUUGUGACCCCAUAGUUUGUAUCUCCCUCUGGACCCUGGAAGUGCUACUUGGUGAUGGAUAAAGGCAACGUGCCUGCAGACCAGGACCAAAGUUCUGUCUCCUACCAUGAAAUUUUGACUGUCAGAUAGAAUGGAAGAAAUGUGUGGUGACAUCAAAGGUCGAGGCUGGGUAGAGAAACUGGAAUGGUUCUUCCACUGUCAAC
This is a long non-coding RNA of Mauremys reevesii (Reeves's turtle), 339 nucleotides long. RefSeq lists it as uncharacterized. The record is from RefSeq and is a predicted model, not a curated record. Lineage: Eukaryota; Metazoa; Chordata; Testudines; Geoemydidae. The transcript has 3 exons.